AGGACGAACGCUGGCGGCGUGCUUAACACAUGCAAGUCGAGCGAGGCCCGUCCUUCGGGACGGUGCCCUAGCGGCGAACGGGUGAGUAACACGUGGGCAACCUGCCCCUAGCACUGGGAUAACUCCGGGAAACCGGGGCUAAUACCGGAUAUGACCUCUGAAGGCAUCUUCGGAGGUGUAAAGGAUUCUGGCUAGGGAUGGGCCCGCGGCCUAUCAGCUUGUUGGUGGGGUAAUGGCCUACCAAGGCGACGACGGGUAGCCGGCCUGAGAGGGCGACCGGCCACACUGGGACUGAGACACGGCCCAGACUCCUACGGGAGGCAGCAGUGGGGAAUAUUGCACAAUGGGCGAAAGCCUGAUGCAGCGACGCCGCGUGAGGGAUGACGGCCUUCGGGUUGUAAACCUCUUUCAGCAGGGACGAAGCGAAGUGACGGUACCUGCAGAAGAAGCACCGGCCAACUACGCGCCAGCAGCCGC
This 477-nucleotide ribosomal RNA is filed under the name uncultured bacterium. RNAcentral describes it as "SSU rRNA". It matches the Rfam family "Bacterial small subunit ribosomal RNA", at positions 26 to 518 of the family's 1533-position model. The record is from RNAcentral.